GCCUGGGUGGCUCAGUCGGUUGAGCAUCUGACUUUGGCUCAGGUCAUGAUCUCGCAGUUUGUGAGUUCGAGCCCCGCGUCGGGCU
This 85-nucleotide transfer RNA is filed under the name Felis catus (domestic cat). It matches the Rfam family "tRNA". From Rfam's summary of the family: Transfer RNA (tRNA) molecules are approximately 80 nucleotides in length. Their secondary structure includes four short double-helical elements and three loops (D, anti-codon, and T loops). Further hydrogen bonds mediate the characteristic L-shaped molecular structure. tRNAs have two regions of fundamental functional importance: the anti-codon, which is responsible for specific mRNA codon recognition, and the 3' end, to which the tRNAs corresponding amino acid is attached (by aminoacyl-tRNA synthetases). tRNAs cope with the degeneracy of the genetic code in two manners: having more than one tRNA (with a specific anti-codon) for a particular amino acid; and 'wobble' base-pairing, i.e. permitting non-standard base-pairing at the 3rd anti-codon position. Lineage: Eukaryota; Metazoa; Chordata; Mammalia; Carnivora; Felidae. The record is from Rfam by way of RNAcentral.